Molecule: non-coding RNA, 108 nt
Filed under: uncultured Sediminibacterium sp.
Lineage: Bacteria; Pseudomonadati; Bacteroidota; Chitinophagia; Chitinophagales; Chitinophagaceae
Description: SAM riboswitch (S box leader)
Rfam family: SAM riboswitch aptamer (S box leader)
About the family: The SAM riboswitch is found upstream of a number of genes which code for proteins involved in methionine or cysteine biosynthesis in Gram-positive bacteria. The SAM riboswitch acts at the level of transcription termination control. The predicted structure consists of a complex stem-loop region followed by a single stem loop terminator region.
Source: RNAcentral
CUUAUCAAGAAAGGCAGAGGGAUUUGGCCCGUUGAAGCCUUGGCAACCCAUAUAGUUACUCAACUAUAUGAAGGUGCCAACUCCAGUACCCAUGGGUACAGAGAUAAG